ACCCUCGGCAAUGGAUAUCUUGGCAAUGCCAUCAAUGCAUAAAAUAGAAAAAUUUGAUACUUGUUGUGAAUUUUUGAAUUCUAUGAACUAUUGAUUCUUUGAAUCUAAGUUACACCCAAAGCCUUUAGGUCGAGAGCACAUCUGCCUGGGUGUCACACAUCAUUUCUCCUCCAUCAUAUCGCACCAUAAUCAAAGGAUGCACUGUCAUUACGAGAUAGAUACUAGCCUCCCGUAUGUGUCAAGCUCACGGCUUUCCAAAAUAUGUGUUCACAUUAACGGACAUUAUGGCAAGUUGUAGUUGUAAAUCAACUAUCUUUUUUAUUGUGACUAUAGCCCGUCGUGUGUCCAGACUCCCAGACCCUAUCGCUAUUAGAAUCUUGGACUAUGAACCUAAGUCAGGUGAUAUUACCCGCUGAGUUUAAGAAUAUCAAUAACCAGAUGAAAAGAAUCUUCCAAGGAUUCCCUUAGUAACUAUUAGCGAAUAAUGAAGAGCCCAUCCAUAAAAUAGGGUGGCUUUGUCUUCCGAAUUAUAGUUUGGAAGUGUCCUCAAUGGCAAACGUGGUACAAGUCGCUUGGAAGGGGGCACCAGAGAGGGUGAGACCCCAUCUUUCCCAGACCCUGUCAGACCAUGAAGUGCUAUUAAUAAGUCAGAUUAUUUAGGAACGCAACCCAAACCAGGCGAUAAAUUUCAUCUGAGGCUAAAUAUGAGCGAGAGACCAAUAGCAAACAAGUACCGUGAGGAAAACAUGAAAAGGACUUUGAAAAAAGAGUAAAAGAGAGCUUGAAAUUAUUAGGAGGGAAGAAGAUGGGGGGCGGUGAUGUGCCCAGAUCGAAUGUUGAAAGGCGAUUAGCUGGUCUGCCAAAUGACUCAGAGCUUGGGCCACCAUGGAUUGGGGGUGUGGCUAAAUCCUAGGAUCUUGAUACACAUAUAAUAUGUAGUCUCCUAAAUUUUAGCUGGUAGUGCAUACCUCUAGAUUGCUACUGCAUCUGCGUGCUCUGGACACUGGCCUGUAGACUCUCCAUUGGACCUGUCUUAAUACACGAACAAAGGUAUGUUACAUUUGUGCGAGUCAACGAGUAAGUAAAUUUGUUAGGCAUAAGGAAAAUGAAUGAUGGGAUCCCCCUUAGGGGUUCCCUGCCGACUGGCCUUGAUCUUUUAAGAAGGGUUUGAAUGUGAUUAUACUUUUCAAGACCCAAAAGAUGGUGAACUAUGCCUUAGUGGUGUGAAGCUAGAGAAAACUUGGUGGAAGCCCAUAGCAAUACUGACAUACGUCUUACUUUGGUAUAGGGGUGAAAUACUAAUAAAACCAUCUAUAUGUUGGUUCCCUCUGAAGUUUCUCUCAGGAUAGCAUGAGCUCGCAUUUGAGUAAUAUCGGGUAAAGCCAAUGUUUAGAUAUCUCAGGAGCACAACACCAUUAACUAAUUCUCAAAAUUUUAAUAGGUAGGAUGGUGUAGGUACUUUGUUUAGAUACGCCAUGGAAUCAAGAGCUCCAAGUGUGCCAUCUUUGGUAAAAAUAACUGGUGAUGCGAGAUGAACUGGAAACUAUGAUACAGUGACAAAUAGUUUGCUAACCUAGAUCCUAUAAAUGGCGUUUGUUAAUUAAGACAACCAAAAGGUUGUAAUGGAUGUCAAAAUCCACUAAAGAAUAUGUAACAAUCAUCUGUUGCAUUAACUAGCCCUAAAAAUAGAUGGCACUUAAUUGCGUGACCUACGCCCGACCAUCGAAGUAAGUGUAAGGCCCUGAUGAGUAGGAGGGCUAGACGGGCGCUCCAAAACCUUAGGCCUGAGCCUGGGAAAAGUUAUUGUUGGUGCAGUUCUUGUUGAUAGUAGCAAAUGUUGUAAUGAGAACAUUGAUAGCCAAAAAAGGGAAAGGUUCCAUGUAAAUGGCACUUCUACAUGGGUUAGUCGAUCCUAAUGGUUGGAGGAACCUAGACAGAUAGAGCGUUUCAUGCUUACACUGAAAGGGAAUUAUAUUAAAAUUACUGAACUAGGAUAUGGUUGUUGAUAACAAUGUUAGGAAGUCCAGAUAUGCCAAUAGGAUCAUCGAGAAGAGUUAUCUUUUCUGUUUAACAUUCUAGCCACUUUGGAAUCAGCUCAAUCGAAGGUAGGGUAAAGCAGCUGAAAAAGUACCUUACAUCGCGUGGUGUUCGGUGCCCUAUCGAAGUCCCUUGAAAAUCAAGAGAACUUAAUUCUGUCAAUGCAUAGUAUUAUUAAUAACCACAUCAGGUCUCCAAAGUGAACAACCUCUGGUCGAUAGUACAAUAUAGGCAAGAAAGUCAGCAAAAUGGAUGAUGUUGGGCGUAUUUACACGCAUAAACACCAUAAUUUACCCAUGUUAUAGCUAAGUUUUGAGGAUGAAAUAUAUAAUUCCUGCACUUUUAGUCCAUUUUCCUGUAAGUGAGCUAACCUAUGUGAUUAGCAUGUUUUCAGGUAUUAAUGAUCCCCCCUUUUUACAAAACUUUCACCAAAAGUCUAAUAAUCUUUGCUUACUCAGUGACCAAGUAUUCCCUGUGGGAUUCGAAACCCAACCCAGUUGGGUUCUAUAUUUGACAACGACCGCUUACACUCUUACGAGAGUUAUAGUUUGAGCGUUAUCUAAAAUUGGCGUCGUUGCUGGGGAAUAUCAUUGUCAACUAAGUUUGUGAUAAUUACUAGACCCUUCGGUCAAAACUUCUCGUACUUUACUUUUAGUUUUUGUUUUUGUUUCUGCAGGUUUUUAUUUAGUGCAUGCCCCAUACUCGAAGUUCUGGUCAACCGUUAUUACCUAUCAAUCCUGAACCAUAACAUAUUGGCAGAAUGGAGACACAACAGGAAAUUGAAUGAAGGGUUUCUCAACAGGAACAGGCUAGAUUAGCUGCUUUGGCUGCCACCCAAGUACAACAACAGAAUAUUGAUAACCCUAGGCAAGAAACAAAUCCUGACUAUGAGGACCUCGGUGAUGACGAGUUAUUAAACCCUAGGCGUGAUGCUGAGAUGGUGACACCUGCAAACAAAAGAGAUCGUCAAGCAAGGUUCAAGCCUGAACGUCAAGCCGUGCAAAUACCAUUCAAUGAUGAUGAUGAUGAUCUUGAUGGAGCCGGUGCCACAGGAGCCAUUAUUCCUCUGCCAUUGGAUCCCGGAUCCAAGUUCAACAUCACAAGCACCAUGAUUCAGUUAUUGCAACUUAAGGAAUUAUUUGGUGGACUAGUAGGCGAUGAUUCGAAUAUGCAUCUGAUCAACUUUAUUUCCACAUGCAAGUCAUUCGACAAUCCUGGCAUUGGACAGAAUGCAAUUCGGCUAUGCUUAUUUCCAUUGCCUCUUUCU
RNAcentral lists this ribosomal RNA (3304 nucleotides) under Capsicum baccatum. RNAcentral's name for it is "bacterial LSU rRNA". The stretch from base 409 to 2253 matches the Rfam family "Eukaryotic large subunit ribosomal RNA", at positions 24 to 1888 of the family's 3401-position model. Lineage: Eukaryota; Viridiplantae; Streptophyta; Magnoliopsida; Solanales; Solanaceae. The record is from RNAcentral.